GAUGAAGAACGCAGCGAAAUGCGAUAAGUAAUGUGAAUUGCAGAAUUCAGUGAAUCAUCGAAUCUUUGAACGCACAUUGCGCCCGCCAGUAUUCUGGCGGGCAUGCCUGUUCGAGCGUCAUUACAACCCUCAGGCCCCCGGGCUUGGCGUUGGGGAUCGGCGGAGCCCCCCGUGGGCACACGCCGUCCCCCAAAUACAGUGGCGGUCCCGCCGCAGCUUCCAUCGCGUAAUAGCUAACACCUCGCGACUGGAGAGCGGCGCGGCCACGCCGUAAAACACCCAACUCUUCUGAAGUUGACCUCGAAUCAGGUAGGAAUACCCGCUGAACUUAAGCAUAUCAAUAAGCGGAGGA
RNAcentral lists this unclassified non-coding RNA (352 nucleotides) under soil metagenome. RNAcentral's name for it is "partial contains 5.8S ribosomal RNA, internal transcribed spacer 2, and large subunit ribosomal RNA". The stretch from base 1 to 120 matches the Rfam family "5.8S ribosomal RNA", at positions 35 to 154 of the family's 154-position model. The record is from RNAcentral.